AAGUCGUAACAAGGUUUCCGUAGGUGAACCUGCGGAAGGAUCAUUACCGAGUGCGGGCCCUCGCGGCCCAACCUCCCACCCUUGUCUCUCUACACCUGUUGCUUUGGCGGGCCCACUGGGGCUCCCUGGUCGCCGGGGGACACCCGUCCCCGGGCCCGCGCCCGCCGAAGCGCUUCGUGAACCCUGAUGAAGAAGGGCUGUCUGAGUACUAUGAAAAUUGUCAAAACUUUCAACAAUGGAUCUCUUGGUUCCG
Molecule: unclassified non-coding RNA, 253 nt
Filed under: Talaromyces sp.
Lineage: Eukaryota; Fungi; Ascomycota; Eurotiomycetes; Eurotiales; Trichocomaceae
Also listed under: 1 other name
Description: partial internal transcribed spacer region
Rfam family: Eukaryotic small subunit ribosomal RNA (bases 1-46)
Source: RNAcentral